AACGAACGCUGGCGGCAGGCCUAACACAUGCAAGUCGAGCGAGGACUUCGGUCCUAGCGGCGGACGGGUGAGUAACGCGUGGGAACGUGCCCUUUGCUUCGGAAUAGCCCUGGGAAACUGGGAGUAAUACCGGAUGAGCCCUUUGGGGGAAAGAUUUAUCGACGAAGGAUCGGCCCGCGUUGGAUUAGGUAGUUGGUGGGGUAAUGGCCUACCAAGCCGACGAUCCAUAGCUGGUUUGAGAGGAUGAUCAGCCACACUGGGACUGAGACACGGCCCAGACUCCUACGGGAGGCAGCAGUGGGGAAUCUUAGACAAUGGGGGAAACCCUGAUCUAGCCAUGCCGCGUGAGCGAUGAAGGCCUUAGGGUUGUAAAGCUCUUUCAGCUGGGAAGAUAAUGACGGUACCAGCAGAAGAAGCCCCGGCUAACUCCGUG
This 433-nucleotide ribosomal RNA is filed under the name uncultured bacterium. RNAcentral describes it as "partial 16S ribosomal RNA". It matches the Rfam family "Bacterial small subunit ribosomal RNA", at positions 29 to 507 of the family's 1533-position model. The record is from RNAcentral.